This 357-nucleotide ribosomal RNA is filed under the name uncultured bacterium. RNAcentral's name for it is "bacterial SSU rRNA". It matches the Rfam family "Bacterial small subunit ribosomal RNA", at positions 527 to 876 of the family's 1533-position model. The record is from RNAcentral.
GAAGGCCCCUAGCGUUAUCCGGAUUUAUUGGGCGUAAAGGGUCUGUAGGCGGUCUAUUACAUCUUCUGUUAAAUCCCAAGGCUCAACCUUGGAACCGCGGAAGAGAUGGGUAGACUAGAGGCCGGUAGAGGUAAGCGGAAUUGUCGGUGUAGGGGUUAAAUCCGUUAAUAUCGACAGGAACACCAAAUGCGAAGGCAGCUUACUAGAACGAGCCUGACGCUGAGAGACGAAAGCGUGGGUAGCGAAUGGGAUUAGAUACCCCAGUAGUCCACGCCGUAAACGAUGGAUGCUAAGCAUUGGAAGUUUCGACCCUUCCAGUGUUGUUCACUUAASUAACGCCUUAAGCAUCCCGCCUGG